Molecule: ribosomal RNA, 226 nt
Filed under: Escherichia coli
Lineage: Bacteria; Pseudomonadati; Pseudomonadota; Gammaproteobacteria; Enterobacterales; Enterobacteriaceae
Also listed under: 1 other name
Description: partial 16S ribosomal RNA
Rfam family: Bacterial small subunit ribosomal RNA
Source: RNAcentral
AAAUUGAAGAGUUUGAUCAUGGCUCAGAUUGAACGCUGGCGGCAGGCCUAACACAUGCAAGUCGAACGGUAACAGGAAACAGCUUGCUGUUUCGCUGACGAGUGGCGGACGGGUGAGUAAUGUCUGGGAAACUGCCUGAUGGAGGGGGAUAACUACUGGAAACGGUAGCUAAUACCGCAUAACGUCGCAAGACCAAAGAGGGGGACCUUCGGGCCUCUUGCCAUCG